This 260-nucleotide ribosomal RNA is filed under the name uncultured bacterium. RNAcentral's name for it is "partial 16S ribosomal RNA". It matches the Rfam family "Bacterial small subunit ribosomal RNA", at positions 793 to 1055 of the family's 1533-position model. The record is from RNAcentral.
GUCCACGCCCUAAACGAUGUCUACUAGUUGUCGGGUCUUAAUUGACUUGGUAACGCAGCUAACGCGUGAAGUAGACCGCCUGGGAGUACGGUCGCAAGAUUAAAACUCAAGGAAUUGACGGGACCCGCACAAGCGGUGGAUGAUGUGGAUUAAUUCGAUGCAACGCGAAAACCUUACCUACCCUUGACAUGGCUGGAAUCCUGAAGAGAUUUAGGAGUGCUCGAAAGAGAACCAGUACACAGGUGCUGCAUGGCUGUCGU